UUGCACAUGCGCAGGUAGGUGCUUGGCAUACUAGGCUUCUGCCCACAAUAAAGAUGGCGACCUAGAAGGCGCAUGCGCACAUCGCCCCGCAAUUCUGCUCUAACGGCGGCGAUACCAGAGCCCUCGGCAGACGGAUGUAAGGACCAACUAAGAGUGGAGGCGAGUCUCAUGCAGUCUCCGUUUAUUGACGUUUCAGACUCAUGCAGCAUCCGGCAUACAAAAAGGGGAUAUGGAUCUUGGCAUGUGGGGAGGCUGCCUGCUCCUGAACUGAAAGCAAGAAUUGUGAACGAGAGUCAUGGCUGAGGCUGCUUUUCACCUGCCCUGGAAGCUGCUUGGUUCUCCCAUUCCUGACUCCCCAGUUCCCUUUCCUCCUAAGCAGGAUAGGUUUACUCUGGAAGAGCAGAGAAUUGCGAUGCGGUUCAAGCAACUAUGGCAAAACCACAACCGUGUCCAGAGAACAAAGGAGAGAAGACUUCUUAUAGAAGAAAGGGGAUGCGUUGGAGGACUGUUCUAAGCAAAACGUCCUUUGGAGGAAACUGGGAGUCCCAUCUGUCAUAGGGGCUCACGGGGUUGAAUUGUAAGAGUCUCUCAUUGGCUGGGCUGUUGCUGGGAUAGUCAGAAACUCUUCCCUCCUACUGGAUGAUAAAGCAGCCAAUAUAGAGU
Molecule: long non-coding RNA, 663 nt
Organism: Manis pentadactyla (Chinese pangolin)
Lineage: Eukaryota; Metazoa; Chordata; Mammalia; Pholidota; Manidae
Exons: 3
Source: RefSeq, a predicted model, not a curated record